Molecule: ribosomal RNA, 443 nt
Filed under: uncultured bacterium
Lineage: Bacteria
Description: partial 16S ribosomal RNA
Rfam family: Bacterial small subunit ribosomal RNA
Source: RNAcentral
CCUACGGGAGGCAGCAGUGGGGAAUAUUGGGCAAUGGGCGCAAGCCUGACCCAGCAACGCCGCGUGAAGGAAGAAGGCUUUCGGGUUGUAAACUUCUUUUAUUGAGGACGAAACAAAUGACGGUACUCAAUGAAUAAGCCACGGCUAACUAAGUGCCAGCAGCCGCGGUAAUACGUAGGUGGCAAGCGGUAUUCGGAUUUAUUGGGUGGAAAGGGCGGGUAGGCGGGAAUUCAAGUCAGAGGUGAAAACUAUGCGCUUAACCCAUAGCCCGCAUUUGAAACUGUAUGUCUUGAGUUAUGGAGAGGCAAUCGGAAUUCCGUGUGUAGCGGUGAAAUGCGUAGAUAUACGGAGGAACACCAGUGGCGAAGGCGGAUUGCUGGACAGUAACUGACGCUGAGGCGCGAAAGCGUGGGGAGCAAACAGGAUUAGAUACCCCAGUAGUC